Molecule: ribosomal RNA, 119 nt
Filed under: Lepisosteus oculatus (spotted gar)
Lineage: Eukaryota; Metazoa; Chordata; Actinopteri; Semionotiformes; Lepisosteidae
Source: RNAcentral
GCCAGCAGCCAUGUCACCCUGCAACCCACAGCUGGCAGCCCACUGAAGCUAAGCAGGUGUGAGCCUGGUCAGUACCUGGAUGGGAGACCUCCUGGGAAAAACUAAGGGGCCAGCAGGGG